RNAcentral lists this non-coding RNA (85 nucleotides) under Lyngbya majuscula. Its description in RNAcentral is "Glutamine-I sequence". It matches the Rfam family "Glutamine riboswitch aptamer (glnA leader)". The record is from RNAcentral. Lineage: Bacteria; Bacillati; Cyanobacteriota; Cyanophyceae; Oscillatoriales; Microcoleaceae.
AUCGUUCAUCUCUUCAUGAAUUAACCAUAGGUGAGCAAGCUUCAUGGAGAGACGGAAGUAAGGAUGAAUCCUGAAGGAACGCGCC